UGAGUAACCUGCCCUUAACUCUGGGAUAAGCCUGGGAAACUGGGUCUAAUACCGGAUAUGACUCCUCAUCGCAUGGUGGGGGGUGGAAAGCUUUAUUGUGGUUUUGGAUGGACUCGCGGCCUAUCAGCUAGUUGGUGAGGUAACGGCUCACCAAGGCGACGACGGGUANCUGGUCUGAGAGGAUGGCCAGCCACAUUGGAACUGAGACACGGUCCAGACCUCCGACGGGAGNAG
Molecule: ribosomal RNA, 234 nt
Filed under: uncultured bacterium
Lineage: Bacteria
Description: partial 16S ribosomal RNA
Rfam family: Bacterial small subunit ribosomal RNA
Source: RNAcentral